Molecule: long non-coding RNA, 828 nt
Organism: Panicum hallii
Lineage: Eukaryota; Viridiplantae; Streptophyta; Magnoliopsida; Poales; Poaceae
Exons: 2
Source: RefSeq, a predicted model, not a curated record
CUCUCUUUCCCUCCCUGGCCUAUAAAUACAGUACCACCCCCCCUUCGCAACUCACCACCCAAAUAAACAGUAGUAGUGAAAUUCUAGAGAUAAAUGGAUAUCUAGAUCUGUCUCAACAAUUAUAGUAGUACAUCCACAUAUAUAUGUACAGUCUCACACAUACUAAUACACACCUACCAGUGGAUCAGAAAAGAGGAGAGUGUGACUGAUCUGAUGAUCAGUUCUGUGAUUUUAUCUUCAUCCCUUUGUUGCUGUUUCAUGAUGGUCAGUUGUGGGGGUGGAAGGAGAGAGGUGGAGGCUGACAGAAGAGAGUGAGCACACAUGGUGCCUUUCUUGCAUGAUGAAUGGCAGAGUCCAUGCUUGAAGCUAUGUGUGCUCACUUCUCUCUCUGUCGGCCACUAGAAUCCUUCUCCCUCCCCCCUCUCCCUCCUCUCUCUGGCUGCGUGUGUAUUUGAGAAGUGACAUGCAUGGGAAACGAUUGCAAAGCAAGCAAUAUUGAUCAAACUUUCAUCAGAGAGGCUACAUACGAUCAAAAACAAGCUUUGCUUGCUCUCCCAAAAAUAGGUGUGCUUAGUGGUUGUGUUAUUUCUCUGUUAUAAUUUUCCAGGGUAAACUCCCAAUCAUAUGUGUAGUGGUUAAGGAACUCUCUCAAAAAAGAUGAUGUUUCAGGGUGUUUUCUAGUGCCUGUAUUUCUCUGAAUCUGUCCAUAAGCUCUACUUAAAUCUGUCCACAAGCUUUCGUUGGAUCUGUCGAAGCUCAUGUAAAUUAAUAUGACCACCCACCGAUAUUAUUUCAUGUGAAGAAUUAUGAGGCCUGUUUGCAUGCAAA